UUUGGAAUCUAAAGUUGGGGAGAGUAAAGUGAAAAGUUGAUUAGAAACUUGGAAAAGUGAGUUUUUAUGAAAGGGUGAAAAUAUGAAAAGAAACAAGAAAAAGAAAUCACCCUUGAAACCAUAGAGCAACGAAAAAGAAAAGAAAAAAAAAACAAAGAAAUGCUCAUGGUUGUGUGGAUGUGGAAAGAAAAAGAAAAAGAAAAAGAUAGGGAUCAAAGAAAUGGAAAUUGUGUAGAGUUGAAUAUUUGGGAAUGCUCCCUUAGGAUAGGCAAUUUGGUUGAAUUCUCUUAAUCAUAUCCUUUCUUGUAACCUAAGCCACAUUACAACCUUUGAAAGACCUCUUGAUUCUCAUUUUUCACAUGAUUUGGUAUUUGUUGUGAUAACCGCAUGAUUUGAAUUGUUGUUGAUUUAAUUGCUUGGAUGAGUGAAAGUAACCCUUCA
RNAcentral lists this long non-coding RNA (441 nucleotides) under Lathyrus oleraceus (garden pea). Its description in RNAcentral is "Pisum sativum (pea) long non-coding RNA (PSAT_LNC026304)". Lineage: Eukaryota; Viridiplantae; Streptophyta; Magnoliopsida; Fabales; Fabaceae. The record is from RNAcentral.